GACGAACGCUGGCGGCGUGCUUAACACAUGCAAGUCGAACGGAAAGGCCCUGCUUGCAGGGUACUCGAGUGGCGAACGGGUGAGUAACACGUUGGUGAUCUGCCCUGCACUUCGGGAUAAGCCCGGGAAACUGGUUCUAAUACCGGACCGGAGCCUUUUUUAGUUUGAUGGUUGGAAAGUUUUUUUGGUGUAGGAUGAGCUCGGGGCCUAUCCGCUUGUUGGUGGGGUAAUGGCCUACCAAGGCGGCGCCGGCGAGCCGGCCUGGGAGGGUGGCCGGCAACAGUGAGACUGGGACUCGGCCCCGACUCCGACGGGAGGGAGCAGUGGGGGAUGUUGCUCUAGGGGCGCGGGCGUGAUGCAGCUCCGCCACGUGGGGGAUGACGACGUACGGGUUGUAAUCGUCUUGCGCUAGGAACGGAGCUUAUUGUGACAGUACCGAGAUAAGAAGCUCCGGCUAACUACGUG
Molecule: ribosomal RNA, 465 nt
Filed under: uncultured bacterium
Lineage: Bacteria
Description: partial 16S ribosomal RNA
Rfam family: Bacterial small subunit ribosomal RNA
Source: RNAcentral